RNAcentral lists this unclassified non-coding RNA (270 nucleotides) under fungal sp. RNAcentral describes it as "partial internal transcribed spacer region". The stretch from base 1 to 45 matches the Rfam family "Eukaryotic small subunit ribosomal RNA", at positions 1787 to 1831 of the family's 1831-position model. The record is from RNAcentral. Lineage: Eukaryota; Fungi.
AGUCGUAACAAGGUAUCCGUAGGUGAACCUGCGGAUGGAUCAUUAUAGGGUGUUGGGUAAUUGUGAGUGGUUUUAUUAUUAGUAGUUUGAGCGGUGUUGGUUGGGAUGCUUGCAGGAUUGCGAAGCAGGAUUGCCAAGCAGGAUUGCCAAGCAGGAUUGCCAAGCAGGAUUGCCAACAUUGCCAGCCAACAUUGCCUCACGUUAAACUCUAUAAAUCUAACAAUUACAUACAAAAAAAAACAACUUUUAGCAACGGAUCUCUUGGCUCUC